Molecule: long non-coding RNA, 215 nt
Filed under: Elaeis guineensis (African oil palm)
Lineage: Eukaryota; Viridiplantae; Streptophyta; Magnoliopsida; Arecales; Arecaceae
Description: long non-coding RNA (EGUI_LNC009172)
Source: RNAcentral
AGGGACGGCUCUAUAGCUCUGCAAAUUAACAAGGAAUGAAUAAGGUUGUAUUUGGACUUCAAAUAGUUAGCUGUGUGUGAAUAAAUUAAAUCAUUGGAAUUACUCCCAAAUCAAAUAAUCAUGGGACAGAAUUAUUAAUUAUUUGAUUAACAUAUUGGGGGUUAGAGAAUUAGAUUGUUAAGAAGUAUAAAAGUAAAAAGAAAAAGGAGAGCGAU